This 357-nucleotide long non-coding RNA is filed under the name Gallus gallus (chicken). The record is from RNAcentral. Lineage: Eukaryota; Metazoa; Chordata; Aves; Galliformes; Phasianidae.
CGUUUCCGGUGCCCUCCGCCUCCGGCGGCGGGGUGAGGCCGGCAGUGCCCCGGCGGCGUCCCCAUGGUAACGGCCGCGUGGAGCUGUCCCUCAAUUGCCACUCGGACCUACCUCAAACACUAACCCAGCACUAACCGGGUGCCAAUUUAGAGCUAAUUAAGCAUUAAUUGAGUUCUGAGUAGCCUCAAUUAAGCCCUAAUUAGUCCCUAAUGAGGCGGUAGCACCCGGGGCAUCGUCGCCAUGGCGCUGCGGCGCCUCUGCACCAGGGCCCCCCAGGACCACUACGAGGUUUUGGGGUCCCCCCCGACGCCACCCCCAACAGAUCCGUGCGGCGUUCCUGCAGCGCUGCAAGGAGGU